GACGAACGCUGGCGGCGUGCUUAACACAUGCAAGUUGAACGGAAAGGCCCUGCUUUUGUGGGGUGCUCGAGUGGCGAACGGGUGAGUAACACGUGAGUAACCUGGCCUUGAUUUUGGGAUAACUUCAGGAAACUGGGGCUACUACCGGAUAGGAGCUCCUGCUGCAUGGUGGGGGUUGGAACGUUUCGCCGGUCGGGGAUGGACUCGCGGCUUAUCAGCUUGGUGGUUGGGUGGUUGCCUACCAAGGCUUUGACGGGCAGCCGGCCUGAGAGGGUGGCCGGCCACAUCGGGGCUGGAGGACGCCCCAGACUCCUACCGGAGGCAGUAGUGAGGUAUUUUGCCCACUGGGCGGAAGCCAGAUGCAGCAACGCCGCCUGCGGGAUGACGGCCUUCGGGUUGUAGACCGCUUUCGCCUGUGCCGAAGCGUGAGUGCCCGUAAUGGGUAAAGAAGCACCGGCUAACUACGUG
This 468-nucleotide ribosomal RNA is filed under the name uncultured bacterium. Its description in RNAcentral is "partial 16S ribosomal RNA". It matches the Rfam family "Bacterial small subunit ribosomal RNA", at positions 28 to 507 of the family's 1533-position model. The record is from RNAcentral.